AGGGGAUCCCUGGGUGGCGCAGCGGUUUGGCGCCUGCCUUUGGCCCAGGGCGCGAUCCUGGAGACCCGGGAUCGAAUCCCACAUCGGGCUCCCGGUGCAUGGAGCCUGCUUCUCCCUCUGCCUGUGUCUCUGCCUCUCUCUCUCUCUCUCUCUGUAUGUGACUAUCAUAAAUAAAUAAAAAUUAAAAAAAAAAAAAGAUAUAAAGUAUAAUGGAAAAUGGUGCUUUCUUCUCCUGGGAUUGUUUACAGUGUGUGUGUGUGUGUGUGUGUGUGUGUGUGUGUACACAACAGGGCAUCCUUUGAGAUUGGAGCAUAAAUCCUAUUAAACUCAACUAUGGUCUCCCCAUCCCUAAAAUAGAUUUGACAUACAGAUACAAGCACAAGGUCAAGGUCACAGAUCAGUAAGAAAGAUUACCAACAGAACUGAUGUAACAGCUGGCAUUUGAUCAAAGCUCCUGGGGUUUUUAGUACACUUACCAGAUACUCUGCAUUUACUCACAGGGUACACUCUGUUUUAAAAAUGUUCCCCAUCUUUGAAGAUAAGAUCUUCAUGCACUUUUUGUUAUGAAGCAUAUUCUUCUAAAAAUGUUGCAUUGAUCACAGAACGUGAGAAACUUGUGUAUGUGUAUUUCAGAAUUACAAGUUUUUAUGUGUGUAUAUGUAUGUGUAUGCUUGCAUGUUAAUUUUUUGCUAUUACUGAUCUUUGCCAUGACAACCUGAAAUUAAUUUAAAUUGCAGGUCUCUGAAUCAUUCUAUGCUCCCCCACACCUCUGUAUCAGCUGAAGUGGAAAUUAACUGUAUAUUCCUUGGUAUCUUGGGACACUUCUUCCCAAAUAUACAGAUUUAACUGCUAGAAAUUGGUUCAACCAGGAAAAUUUUAGAAUGUAUCCACUCUUCCAUGAUAACUUCCAAAUUAUAAGAAGAAAGUUUUGUUACUGACAACAGCAAUAAAAGUGAUUCUUAAUGGAAUAUAUUAUUGAACAGUGCAAUUAUCUAACAAAACCAUGCCUUUUGUUUUAGCUGUUCAAACAAGAUAUUGAAUUGAUCUUAAAUUACAUUUAUGAACCAAAAGUUAUGGGAUGAAUGUUCUUACUAAAAGUGUUCUGAUUAAAAAAAUUACCAUUUUUAAGGAUACAUAAUGCUGUUGGGGUAAAUUACAAUAUAGUUUAGCUUUCCUUGUUAAAUCAAGUAUCACCUACUAUAGCUUUAUAUAAUUCGCAAAUUAGGAUAUAUGCACAUGUAAAUGUUCUCAAUGAUCAAAUUUUCAUUUUGCGAAAUUAUUUUUGGUAAUUAAAUAGGUUUAAAUAAAAAUACCAGAAUUGUACUAUCCUAGAAACACUGGGGUUUCUCCAAAAAGAAAAAAAAAUAUGUAUCAAAUUAAAUACCACAAAAAAAUGGAACUUCCUUUACCAGGCAGAAAAAGACUAGGUAUUGUAAAAUUACUAGUAAUGGAUACUAAUUUGUAUAUAAAAAUUUGAUCACAGAAAUCCAUCAACAUUUAUUUUCUUUUAAAACAAAUAGAGUUCCUUACAUACUAUUAAAGUCUAUUUAGAGGAAUCAUUUAUCAAUUAAUCAG
RNAcentral lists this long non-coding RNA (1575 nucleotides) under Canis lupus familiaris (dog). RNAcentral's name for it is "lncRNA (ENSCAFG00000055407.1, ENSCAFG00845023355.1)". Lineage: Eukaryota; Metazoa; Chordata; Mammalia; Carnivora; Canidae. The record is from RNAcentral.